This 349-nucleotide unclassified non-coding RNA is filed under the name soil metagenome. RNAcentral's name for it is "partial contains 5.8S ribosomal RNA, internal transcribed spacer 2, and large subunit ribosomal RNA". The stretch from base 1 to 120 matches the Rfam family "5.8S ribosomal RNA", at positions 35 to 154 of the family's 154-position model. The record is from RNAcentral.
GAUGAAGAACGCAGCGAAAUGCGAUAAGUAAUGUGAAUUGCAGAAUUCAGUGAAUCAUCGAGUCUUUGAACGCACAUUGCGCCCCCUGGUAUUCCGGGGGGCAUGCCUGUCCGAGCGUCAUUGCUGCCCUCAAGCACGGCUUGUGUGUUGGGCCCCCGCCCCCCGGUCCCGGGGGGCGGGCCCGAAAGGCAGCGGCGGCACCGCGUCCGGUCCUCGAGCGUAUGGGGCUUUGUCACCCGCUCUGUAGGCCCGGCCGGCGCCCGCCGGCGACCCCAAUCAAUCUUUUUCAGGUUGACCUCGGAUCAGGUAGGGAUAGCCGCUGAACUUAAGCAUAUCAAUAAGCGGAGGA